Molecule: unclassified non-coding RNA, 937 nt
Filed under: Bombus terrestris (buff-tailed bumblebee)
Lineage: Eukaryota; Metazoa; Arthropoda; Insecta; Hymenoptera; Apidae
Description: misc RNA ENSBTSG00005024431.1
Source: RNAcentral
ACCAAAGUUAAAGAUUUUCUCUCGUAACCUUAAUUGCUAUAGAGAAUAGAACUGAAAAAUCUUCUUCAAACAAUACUACGGCAAACGAACUGCUCGAACACAAAUUAUUAGAGUUCUUACAGGCUCACUGAGUCAUCGGAAGUGUUUGCAGUCACGUGUGCACGUGGCUCUAAGUCGUGAUUCCACUUGCUAGUUAUAUUACAUUGUCUUGUUUAACUAACCAUUGUUAUCCACAUUAUUUCUUAAAAGUACCUUUGUCGAAUAGAAUUCUGGUUAUACAAGAUGUUUCUUUAUUAUUAUAGUGAACCGAUUUGGUAAAUAUGUUCAUGUUACUGGUUCACAUGUAUGUCGCUCAUUUUACACUGCUCCAAUAACUGACACCACUCAGCGGUCAGUCAACAAAGUAGUGUCGUACACCGUAUUUCAUACCAUUUCGAGAUUUAACUGCCUCCUGGAUGAUUCCCAUUCCGCGUUCCCAUUCACUUUGUGCACACACUCGUUAGUUACGAUCGUGCAGUGUAUCUCGCAAUGCUUGAAAAAUUGUGCAAGUAAAUAUGUACUUAUGUAUGCAUAUGUUGACAAUGUGCAGCGAAGACAAAAGAGUUACGCGAACGAAAGGGACGUUAUUUUUAGCAGGAGGAUCGUUCUGGUUUCCCGCGGAAUAGCUCUCUUGAAAUAAUCGACAAUUUUUUAUCUGUACGUAUUUUUAAUAAAUCUUUUUAUUAUUUUACUUUGUUCACUUUGUUAAAGAUCGAAUUUUUUUAGAUAGAACGCGUUGGUUUAGAAACAAAACUUUAAAACAGAAUAUACGGCGGCAGCAAAACCACGAGACCUAACAUGCUCGAAUGACGAUGGUGACUGCUUGACGAUACAGCUUAACUCGACAACCGAACCUCUCUUUCCCUCUCCAUUCCCGACACAGGAGGUAAACAUUGCG